Molecule: ribosomal RNA, 1372 nt
Filed under: uncultured bacterium
Lineage: Bacteria
Description: bacterial SSU rRNA
Rfam family: Bacterial small subunit ribosomal RNA
Source: RNAcentral
GAUGAACGCUGGCGGCGUGCCUAAUACAUGCAAGUCGAGCGAACGGACGAGAAGCUUGCUUCUCUGAUGUUAGCGGCGGACGGGUGAGUAACACGUGGACAACCUACCUAUAAGACUGGGAUAACUUCGGGAAACCGGAGCUAAUACCGGAUAAUAUUUUGAACCGCAUGGUUCAAAAGUGAAAGACGGUCUUGCUGUCACUUAUAGAUGGAUCCGCGCUGCAUUAGCUAGUUGGUAAGGUAACGGCUUACCAAGGCAACGAUGCAUAGCCGACCUGAGAGGGUGAUCGGCCACACUGGAACUGAGACACGGUCCAGACUCCUACGGGAGGCAGCAGUAGGGAAUCUUCCGCAAUGGGCGAAAGCCUGACGGAGCAACGCCGCGUGAGUGAUGAAGGUCUUCGGAUCGUAAAACUCUGUUAUUGGGGAAGAACAUAUGUGUAAGUAACUGUGCACAUCUUGACGGUACCUAAUCAGAAAGCCACGGCUAACUACGUGCCAGCAGCCGCGGUAAUACGUAGGUGGCAAGCGUUAUCCGGAAUUAUUGGGCGUAAAGCGCGCGUAGGCGGUUUUUUAAGUCUGAUGUGAAAGCCCACGGCUCAACCGUGGAGGGUCAUUGGAAACUGGAAAACUUGAGUGCAGAAGAGGAAAGUGGAAUUCCAUGUGUAGCGGUGAAAUGCGCAGAGAUAUGGAGGAACACCAGUGGCGAAGGCGACUUUCUGGUCUGUAACUGACGCUGAUGUGCGAAAGCGUGGGGAUCAAACAGGAUUAGAUACCCUGGUAGUCCACGCCGUAAACGAUGAGUGCUAAGUGUUAGGGGGUUUCCGCCCCUUAGUGCUGCAGCUAACGCAUUAAGCACUCCGCCUGGGGAGUACGACCGCAAGGUUGAAACUCAAAGGAAUUGACGGGGACCCGCACAAGCGGUGGAGCAUGUGGUUUAAUUCGAAGCAACGCGAAGAACCUUACCAAAUCUUGACAUCCUUUGACAACUCUAGAGAUAGAGCUUUCCCCUUCGGGGGACAAAGUGACAGGUGGUGCAUGGUUGUCGUCAGCUCGUGUCGUGAGAUGUUGGGUUAAGUCCCGCAACGAGCGCAACCCUUAAGCUUAGUUGCCAUCAUUAAGUUGGGCACUCUAAGUUGACUGCCGGUGACAAACCGGAGGAAGGUGGGGAUGACGUCAAAUCAUCAUGCCCCUUAUGAUUUGGGCUACACACGUGCUACAAUGGACAAUACAAAGGGCAGCGAAACCGCGAGGUCAAGCAAAUCCCAUAAAGUUGUUCUCAGUUCGGAUUGUAGUCUGCAACUCGACUACAUGAAGCUGGAAUCGCUAGUAAUCGUAGAUCAGCAUGCUACGGUGAAUACGUUCCCGGGUCU